RNAcentral lists this transfer-messenger RNA (103 nucleotides) under Salmonella enterica subsp. enterica serovar Braenderup. RNAcentral's name for it is "partial transfer-messenger RNA". It matches the Rfam family "transfer-messenger RNA". From Rfam's summary of the family: Bacterial tmRNA, also known as 10Sa RNA or SsrA, is named for its dual tRNA and mRNA-like properties. Its role is to liberate the mRNA from a stalled ribosome. The record is from RNAcentral. Lineage: Bacteria; Pseudomonadati; Pseudomonadota; Gammaproteobacteria; Enterobacterales; Enterobacteriaceae.
AAACACUAAUAUACUGUUUUUAAAUAUAAAUAACUGUUUUCACUAUACUAAAAAUGGUAUGUAGGAAUUUCGGACGCGGGUUCAACUCCCGCCAGCUCCACCA